This is a long non-coding RNA of Drosophila ananassae, 4474 nucleotides long. RefSeq lists it as uncharacterized. NCBI's taxonomy places the organism in Eukaryota, Metazoa, Arthropoda, Insecta, Diptera, Drosophilidae. The transcript has 2 exons. The record is from RefSeq and is a predicted model, not a curated record.
UCGCUCGAUAGCCAGUUAGGGCCAGCAGGGAGCUUCGACUCGAUUAUAGACUCGAUUGCCUGUAUCUGGCAGUUCGAUUAGAUAAGAUAGCGCCAACUGGAGCGCAGGAGGAUUGGGAUUUGCCGACGCAUCACGUUUGGCGGCAGGUGAUCGCACCACAAUAUUGUUUCAGUGUACAUUUCCGUAGUUGUUAUGGCAAGAGGAAGAUAUAUAAUGUGUAGAUAUCUUGGUAGAAAAUGAUUCAUAUUUUUAAUGCCGUAAUUAUAUUCAAAUGCGCACAACAGAAGGUGAGGUGGGUGUUUUGAAGUUUGAAAUAGGAAGGGAGGGGCAACUAGAACUAUUCCUGGACAUGGGCUUUUCCAGAAAAUUGUCAAUUUUAUUGGAUCAGGAAUGAUUAAAACUAUAUUUUUUUAUAUAAAAAUAGACCAGUUUUAUUCUCGGAAAUAUUGCCCUGCAAAUUCUGAAAUAAAAAGAAAAAACACAAAAAGACUGUUUUGUAUUUAAUUAUUUCUGAUGGAAAACAUUUCAUUUGUUUCCGGUUUUUACAUCAAAUCUCCUUAGAAGGUGUAUAAAAAGAGAAGUAAAUUUCAAAAACAGAGAAAAAGUUGUCCAGUUGGCAGAAAAUUUACAAAUAAUUUGCCUUAUUAAGCAUGUAAAAUAAAAAAUGUGGUAGUUAUAAUGGAAAAUGUUUCUAUAUAUCUGAAACUACCUUAUUUUACUCUGAUAUUAGAGGCUUUUCCUUCAAAUUACUUGCCACAUUUCGCAGUUUUUCUCAAUUUUUAAUUCAUGCUGAGGCCCAACAUGACUUCAUUCUUUAACUUUUCUAUUUUUCAAACAACAAGCUUUCCUCAAAGCUUUAAAUUUUAAAUACAACUAGUACUAAGAUGCUACUACUACUAAUACUACUUACUACUAUUAUUACAAACUACUAUUACUACGUACUGAGGUAUAAAAUGCAUUGUUCAAGCCAAAAAACUUCUGAAAAUAUGAACUUUUGACAUAUUUUUCUCUACUUUUAGUUUAGUACUAAUAUAAUAGUAUAUAAUAUUAUUAAUUUUUAAAAAACUUCAACCCCUUUUUAUUGGGUUCUUGUUCUAUUUGUUAGUAUAUUAUUAGUACUUAUUGAUACUCCUUUUAGUAUUUAUUAUUAAACAAUUAUUUAUUAUUAAGAAACUCCACCGCCUAAUUUAAUAAGUUUUUCCUGCAUUUGUUACUAUAUUAUUGAGAUUCCUUUUAGUAUUUAUUUUAAAGCCCCCCAUCGCCCGAUCUACUACGCUCCAAAUGCAUUGAAAAAUUGAAUUAUUGCCGAUUCGGUUUACUUUCCGGCUGCCUUGUUAGGUGCCUCCGUCUCGGCUCCGGCACUCUUAAUUAACACACUUCCCCCCAUCUUUAGUGGGGCGGUAGGCGGUGGGGGCUCAUGAAUAACGGUACGUUUUCCUUAUUUUCUUGGCCGUGGAAAUCGAAACAGAAAUCCGCAUAUAUGUAGGUUUUCUUUCAUUUGUAACUCUUUCCCCUGCUCUUCUUUCAUUCAGUGACUGCACACGGCUUUUCCGCAGCUACUUCCUGGUCUGGUCUUCUCUUUCUCUUUCUCUUUCUCUUUCUCUAUCUCUUGGCUUCUUGCUUUGUGAUCGCGUAUCGUGUCAACUUUCUUUCUCCUGCGCGGCGGCGAGGUUCUCGCGAGGUCGCUUUUGUUGCGGUUCGAAAAUAAACGGUAAUGGCUCGGCGUUGCCAGAUGUGGCCAGGCGAAUGCAGUAUCGAAUUGCAUAAUCCGAGGUGGCGACAACCCUGGCACUAGCAUUCCAAUGCAGAUCAUAAAUAAUUACUUUUCUUUUUACCUCAUCCCAUAGCGAAUGUUACUAUUUUUUAGUUAGAGUAUCCAGUUAAUGCAAUUUUUUUUCGCCCUGCCUCUGUGCAUAUAAAUUUUCGUAAAAACGAAACCGACUUGGUGAACGUAAACAAAGAGGGGGAAAAAAUACUCGAAGAAACCCAGACAAUGGAUGCUGGGAAAGAGGCGAUCGCCCCGAAACCCACAGCCCAAAAAACGCGAUCAGAUCCGCAGUCAAUGGAACUCCUCCGGGCCACUCACUGACAGAAGGCGGCACGCGCCACAGGCGUCUGUAAUUGAUUAUCUGAUCCGGCGAGCUCCCGGUCCCAGCACAGAAACCCCAUUGCAUCACAGUGGAAUACUUAAUUUGCCUGCACAAAUGGGUGCUCUGGUGGCAUAUACUCAUCUGAACACAUAUAGGAAGUACAAGCGAUAAAGCUUGUAGCAUUUUUUAUAUAUUUUUGGAUUAAAAGCCAGGCGACGAUGAAUGAAUUCCAACCAGAGAGUCUCAGAGGGAGCUCUGAAACCAAUUCUUCUAUUACUGUUUCAUUAUUUCUUCCGUUCCAGCCAAUAUCUCUCGUACAUCUCUUAGCCACAAAGCUGCUUCAAGUUGGCAUUGAAUUGUUUUAUGGCCCGGCCCGAUCGACAAAGAAACAAAAGUAAAUCAUAAAAAAAGUGAAAUCUAUGGUUGCUGCCUCCUCGAUCGGUGGUGCUUUGUUUCUACAAUUAUAUUUUUGGCUCUUUGCGGGCCAUCUGACUUUCGGGGCAUGUUGCAAAAGGCGUGCAAUUAGGCCUGUUGCGUCGACUCAGUACUCAGUCAGCACGAAAUCGGCCAUUAACACAAUAAACUCUGACUGACAGUCUGGCUAUAGCUCUGGCUGGCUCACAAAAGAGUAUUUUUACUAAAAAACAUGAGCUGACACAAAACAGAGUAAUAACAAUAAGAAAAGUAUAAUAAGAAAGUCUUUAGAGUGAACUACACGCGAAGAAAAUGAUAUACAGACUGACUACAGGGGUGCCUCAGAAAUCGCUUCCGCUCCAAAAGUCCCAUAUUUCAUACAGCUCUGUGGCAGUCUCUACCCUAAAAUAGCCUAGAAAUUUUAAUUGUAGAGUUGUCACGGAACUUGAAUUGUGUUUCGUGCUAAACUUUUGAAUGUUUUACAAAUUACCAGAAACUAGUUAGUUAAAAAAUUAAUUAUCUCAUUAUAUUAAUGAAGAAACAACUGAAAACUGAAGGCUUUGCAGCGAUAGAACUUGAAAAGUUGUUAACCAAGCAAUUCAAUCUAAUAAGGUGGCAACCCUGAACAGAGAUUUUCGAAAACAAAGGGUUUGUGACUUUGCUAAAAUUUUUGAGCGGAAUUUCUCUUAUCCUAAAUCUAUUCAGCUAUUGAUUUGUGUUUAUAUAACUUUUUAUCAAAUUUGUACAUAUAUUAUGUAAUUAAUUUCCCGCUUAAAGUUUAGUUUUUCACCAAAAACCACUCGAAUAUCUUGCAGUGUAGCCUUAAAUGAACCGAGGAGCUGUUUUAGGGCCCACUUCGGCCUGCCAGUUAGCGAAGAGCUUUACAAAAUUCGCUUAUUUACGCUUUCUGAGCUCUGGCUUGUAAAAAGCAAGAAAAGUAACAAAAAGCAGCCAUUUCUCCGGGCAAAGUGAGGGAAGGGAAAUAAAGUGCAAGAAAGGCCAGUGCCAAGUACGGUGGUCACUUCGGGGCCUACAGGUUUCAAAAUCGCCACAAGCCCCGAUUACGCAACAGCCCUACAUGGAAUAAUUGCGAUAAAUAGAAAGAUAAACAGUUGGAGCUGAGGUAUUAUUAUUUUAAAGGUUUUUUUCCCCUUUUUUCAUUAAAAGAUAAUGGAAAUAACAAAAGAAAAUAGUACUGCUGUUUAUUAAUAAACCUCUGCCCUAUUUCUCCCAGUGGUACAACUGCUCUAUAAGCUUCUGGUUUUGUCUCAAAAAGCAAACAAAGUGCCCCAGACUGCGCCAUGAAUGGAAGCGGUGGCAGGCAGAUGCAGUGCGGCAAGAAGGUAAUCAGUGAGGCCUGUUGCUCGUGCCAGCAACAACCUGUUUCUUUCGGUGCACUUUAUUUGGGCCAUAUUGACAUGUGCCGCCAUAGUCGUCUCUCUGUCGCACCGUUAACGACAUCGCUGGCCCGGCCUGGUGUGGCGUGGCCCCAAUUCUCCAUGUUCUAGUCUUGUGAAGUAAAGGCCGCCGAGGUGGCAUUACGAAAGGCCCCCGAUAAACAGCAUUCUGAUGGCACAGAUAGCUGGCACAGAGUGUUUGCGUUUCUCAUUCAUAAUCGCUAUUCCAGUUAUGGGCCAACGCGCCACAAGAUAGUUGCAAGAUAUUUUAUAGUCAGAGAUCGACCUUGAAGUGGCUCUAUCUUUUGAGAUUAAUCCAUCAAAGAGAAAGCACACCUGUAACUUUUCCGCUGGCGAAUUAAUGAAAAUUAACACACAAUUAGUUGAUAGUACUGGUGUCUGUGCCCUGUGGCCCAUUUGGAGGCUUUAGUGACGCAUUAUGGACGACAUCCCACUGAUACCGCGAGCGAGGGCCGCCAGCCGAAAAUAAUCAAUAGGCCUUUGUGCUGGACUGCCACUAUUUUCCUUCAGUAAACCAAUAGAGGUUCUAUUAUAGAACUGAUAAGCCUGGAA